GCCAGUGGUUGGUACAGUGGUUAGAGUGCCGGACUAGGACUUGGGAGAUCAGGGUUCGAAUCCCCACCUGGCU
RNAcentral lists this transfer RNA (73 nucleotides) under Podarcis lilfordi (Lilford's wall lizard). RNAcentral describes it as "tRNA.Pro". Lineage: Eukaryota; Metazoa; Chordata; Lepidosauria; Squamata; Lacertidae. The record is from RNAcentral.